UACGUAGGGCGCAAGCGUUAUCCGGAAUUAUUGGGCGUAAAGAGCUCGUAGGCGGUUUGUCGCGUCGGCCGUGAAAUCUCCACGCUUAACGUGGAGCGUGCGGUCGAUACGGGCAGACUUGAGUUCGGUAGGGGAGACUGGAAUUCCUGGUGUAGCGGUGAAAUGCGCAGAUAUCAGGAGGAACACCGGUGGCGAAGGCGGGUCUCUGGGCCGAGAUUGACACUGAGGAGCGAAAGCCAGGGGAGCAAACGGG
Molecule: ribosomal RNA, 253 nt
Filed under: uncultured bacterium
Lineage: Bacteria
Description: partial 16S ribosomal RNA
Rfam family: Bacterial small subunit ribosomal RNA
Source: RNAcentral